AUGCCAUACUUUUAGAAGAUGUCAGUGCUGUGGAAUGAGAUGGCCAACCAUCAUAUGUAUGCUGCAACUCAGAGAUACAGCUGUGAAUUCUCAGAAUACGGUACUGAUGGCCCUGUCGUCCAAUGCAUCCAAUGUCUGAUUUUCAUCUUGGCCAGCUGUGAGCGUUAACCAAGACUUUUCUCUCUGUGUGCCUGUAAAAAUUUUGUAGGUCCAGGAUGGUUGGAUAUUAUUUCAUAAAGCCUUAGUCUAGUGAGUUCUAAUAAUUCUUGAUCUUUCCCAAAGAAAUACUGCUCGAGUAUUCCCCAAUAGCAAAGUAACUAAGCAUCCACCUUUUCCAACUGUAAUGCAGUUUUGGUAUGAGAAAAGUAUGCCUGGUCUCCGGGAUUUAGAAAGUAAACAUGGAACAAUUAGAAUGCGAGUGCCAUGGUUGGGGAGGCGGAUGUUCUGCACAUCCGCAUCCAGAGUGCCUCACUUCAAAUUUCUUGCCCUUUUCCUUUUUGCUUAAGUGUUUCUUGGUAUGUUGCCUGGGAAGUUAGAUAUGUUAUUAUAACACAGUGAGGAAUUAUGUAAGACGAAGCCCAGCUUGCUUUUCUUUUUCCUUCCAGUUCUACUAUGCCUUAGACAAAACUCAACCAUUCUCUUCCAUGAUGUAGAAUGGCUACUAAAAAGGAAGAAGAAAAGAAAGCUUUCAGAGGACAGUGGUAAACAAAUGCAUUAUGAUUUACUUAACAGGGAACUGUAAGUUUUUUAUGUCCAAGAACAUAGAACUUGCUUUUUUAAAAUACUUUCUAAAAAUUUUCUUUUCUUUUGUUUCUUUCUCCCCCCCCCAGAAGAGCUAUAGAGGUCUGGGCAUGGAGGUGGUUAACUGGCAUCACAUGGUGACAGCAAAAUGCACCCAACACCAAAGAAACUUCUAGACAGCGCCAGUGGAGGAAAUGUCAUUCUUCUGUUUUUUUGUUGCUGUUUUUAAAACCUCAAAAUGUUUAUGUGUGUCUAUAACACUGUGGCCUCUUUAAAGGGAGUCAAAAUGUCUGUAUUCAUUUUUGCAUGUCUCAGAUCUAACCCAGAGUAGACCCUCAAUAAAUAUUGAUUUAAAUAUCUGUUGAACA
RNAcentral lists this long non-coding RNA (1109 nucleotides) under Felis catus (domestic cat). RNAcentral describes it as "lncRNA (ENSFCAG00000047520.1)". Lineage: Eukaryota; Metazoa; Chordata; Mammalia; Carnivora; Felidae. The record is from RNAcentral.